Sinocyclocheilus anshuiensis is the source of this 643-nucleotide long non-coding RNA. RefSeq lists it as uncharacterized. The record is from RefSeq and is a predicted model, not a curated record. The transcript is spliced from 2 exons. Lineage: Eukaryota; Metazoa; Chordata; Actinopteri; Cypriniformes; Cyprinidae.
AGUGCGGAAUACGCCAAAAUCCCAAAGAACAAGAAGAAGAAGCAUCUCAGAGGCUGCGUUACACUUUGGCGUUAACACAUGCGAUAUUGUCAACUUGUGGGACACAAACCUGCCUGAUACCUUGCUGAAGUGGCUGGGCACUUCUACACUUCUUCCUUACUUCUACAGCACUUCUCAAAAUCAACCUGAAGAUUCAACCAAAGAUUCAUUCAGCAAGUGCAUAAUGCCACGAUCAAAGGAAAUUCCAGAAGAUGUAAAAGAAAAGAUAAUUUUUUACCAUAAGUCUGGUAAGGGUUACAAAGCUAUUUCUAAAAUUAUGGGACUGCAUCGAUCCACUGUCAGAACUAUAAUUUCCAAAUGGAAAACAUUUGGAACAGUGAUGAAUCUUCCCAGGAGUGGUCGACCCACAAAAAUUUCACCACGGACACAGCGGAAAAUCAUCCAGGAAGUCACAAAGAAACCCGAAAUAACGUCCAAAGAACUGCAGGCUUCUCUUGCUUUAGUUAAAAUCAAAGUUCAUGACUCUACAAUCAGACGGAGACUGGGCCAAAUUAGGAAACGCGAGAUAGUGUCAAAACGAAAAACACUGCAGAAAAAGAAAAUAAAUGCUUGUCUUGUUUGAAAAUAAUCUACAGGAAGAUUC